Molecule: ribosomal RNA, 415 nt
Filed under: uncultured bacterium
Lineage: Bacteria
Description: bacterial SSU rRNA
Rfam family: Bacterial small subunit ribosomal RNA
Source: RNAcentral
GGAAUAUUCCACAAUGGGCGAAAGCCUGAUGGAGCGACGCCGCGUGAGUGAAGAAGGUUUUCGAAUCGUAAAGCUCUUUUCAACUUGACGAAUAGACAGUUAGACUGUAAGAGACGGUAAAGAUGGAAUAAGCCACGGCUAACUACGUGCCAGCAGCCGCGGUAAUACGUAGGUGGCAAGCGUUGUCCGGAAUUAUUGGGCGUAAAGGGAGCGCAGGCGGAAAUGUAAGUCUUACUUAAAAGUGCAGAAGUAAAAUUUGUGAUGGGUAAGAAACUACAAUUCUUGAGAGCAGGAGAGGCAAGCGGAAUUCCUAGUGUAGCGGUGAAAUGCGUAGAUAUUAGGAGGAACACCAGUGGCGAAGCCGGCUUGCUGGACUGCAUCUGACGCUGAGGCUCGAAAGCCGGGGUAGCGAACG